Molecule: ribosomal RNA, 392 nt
Filed under: uncultured bacterium
Lineage: Bacteria
Description: bacterial SSU rRNA
Rfam family: Bacterial small subunit ribosomal RNA
Source: RNAcentral
GACGAACGCUGGCGGCGUGCUUAACACAUGCAAGUCGAGCGGUAAGGCCCUUUCGGGGGUACACGAGCGGCGAACGGGUGAGUAACACGUGGGUGACCUGCCCUCAGCUCUGGGAUAAGCCUGGGAAACCGGGUCUAAUACUGGAUAUGACUCCAUGACGCAUGUUGUGGGGUGGAAAGCCUUGUGCGGCUGAGGAUGGGCCCGCGGCCUAUCAGCUUGUUGGUGGGGUGANGGCCUACCAAGGCGACGACGGGUAGCCGGCCUGAGAGGGCGACCGGCCACACUGGGACUGAGACACGGCCCAGACUCCUACGGGAGGCAGCAGUGGGGAAUCUUGCGCAAUGGGACGAAAGCCUGACGCAGCGACGCCGCGUGAGGGAUGACGGCCUCGG